Molecule: ribosomal RNA, 553 nt
Filed under: uncultured microorganism
Description: bacterial SSU rRNA
Rfam family: Archaeal small subunit ribosomal RNA
Source: RNAcentral
GCGCAGCAGGCGCGAAACCUUUACAAUGCCUGAAAGGGUGAUAAGGGCAUCCUGAGUGCUCCAGCAUUGCUGGGGCUUUUCCGGAGUGUAAAAAGCUCCGGGAAUAAGUGGUGGGUAAGACGGGUGCCAGCCAUUUACAUGUCUUACAAUUAAAACUCUAAGUUUCAAAGGCAUGUAAACUGGAAGCCGCGGUAAUACCCGCGCCACAAGUGGUGAUCACGGUUAUUGGGUCUAGAGCGUUCGUAGCCGGCCUAAUAAAUUCUUGGUGAAAUCCCGUGUAAAACAUGGGAAGAGCUAAGAACACUAUUAGGCUAGGGACCAGGAGAGGCUGAGGGUACUCCAAGGGUAGGGGUUAAAUACUGAAAGAGGUUACUUUCGUACUUUUAAAACUUCUCGGUUUUAACAAUCCUGUAAUCCUUGGAGGACCACCUGUGGCGAAGGCGCUCAGCUGGAAUGGCUCCGACGGUGAGGGACGAAAGCCUGGGGAGCGAAACUAACAAGGGAUAUCUUUAUAAACAGUAAAUUCAAUAGAGUAUGGGAUUAGACAAGUUAC